Molecule: long non-coding RNA, 310 nt
Filed under: Gossypium barbadense (sea-island cotton)
Lineage: Eukaryota; Viridiplantae; Streptophyta; Magnoliopsida; Malvales; Malvaceae
Description: long non-coding RNA (GBAR_LNC014827)
Source: RNAcentral
AAGAAACAUAAGUAAACAAAUCAACAAGGUAGAGUAACAACUAAUUUCAAGUCAUUAGGCUUACCUCAUAUAUUUGAUCCUAAAACCUCCACUACCAUAAUCCAUAAUUGAUUCAAAAUCCAAAGCUAAAAAAGAAUGAAGUGAUGAAAAUACUCUAGUGAAUAUAAUAACAUCCACUAUAAUUAAUUGAAAAUGAAAAAUGAUCAACAUAAAAUUAUAUUAAAAUCAUAUAAGAUUCAAUCGUUGAAAAUGAAAGACAAUUAACAUAAAAUUAGAUUAAAAUCAUAUAUAAUAAAGUCAAAAACCUUUC